RNAcentral lists this ribosomal RNA (380 nucleotides) under uncultured eukaryote. RNAcentral's name for it is "SSU rRNA". It matches the Rfam family "Eukaryotic small subunit ribosomal RNA", at positions 587 to 972 of the family's 1831-position model. The record is from RNAcentral.
AGCUCCAAUAGCGUAUAUUAAAGUUGUUGCAGUUAAAAAGCUCGUAGUUGAACUUCAGGUCUGGUGGGCCGGUCCGCCUCACGGUGUGUACUGGUCGACUGGACCUUACCUCUUGGUGAGCCGUCAUGCCGUUUAUUCGGUGUGGCGGGGAACCAGGACUUUUACUUUGAAAAAAUUAGAGUGUUCAAAGCAGGCCUAUGCCCGAAUACAUUAGCAUGGAAUAAUAGAAUAGGACGUGCGGUUCUAUUUUGUUGGUUUCUAGGAUCGCCGUAAUGAUUAAUAGGGAUAGUUGGGGGCAUUAGUAUUCAGUCGCUAGAGGUGAAAUUCUUGGAUUGACUGAAGACUAACUACUGCGAAAGCAUUUGCCAAGGAUGUUUUCA